Molecule: long non-coding RNA, 1131 nt
Filed under: Vigna radiata
Lineage: Eukaryota; Viridiplantae; Streptophyta; Magnoliopsida; Fabales; Fabaceae
Description: long non-coding RNA (VRAD_LNC012297)
Source: RNAcentral
UAAUAAUAAUAAUAAUAAUGAAUGAGAAUUAAGUUUAUACAUCAGAAUAAUUAAAAUCAUAAUAAAUAUUAUUAUAUUAUUAAAAGUUAUGUGAAACGAAUGUUCUUUUAACACAGUCUACACCAUAAAUAAUUUUUUUUAUUACAUUCAAGAACAUUCCCAUUCCUUAUAUUUCUUUCCUCUCCUUUAAAAGUUUUAUGAUUUAGUUAGGUAUGAUAAGACAUCAAUCAAGUCUUCAAUUUUUAAAUUUUAGGAUAAAGAUAUGUAUGAUUACUGAUGGAAUCUUGCCCGACGUACCUUUCUUAGUGUUCUCUUUUUGCAUUUUUACAUUUCAUUGUAUACAUAGCUUAGCUUGCAAGGAGCAUGAGUUACUAUAAAUACCCAGCUCCUCUCUUGUAUGCUCACUUUUGUGAUGAAUGAGAAUUGAAUUUCUUAACUCCAGAAUUAAUUCUCUCUUGAAAGUCACAAGCUAGAGAGUCCCAGGGAUCCGCCUUUGGCCACCUCCAAGCACACUCUUCCAUUUCUCCAUUUUCCAUUUCUCCACCCGGCUUCCAUUUUCUCUCUUAUCCACUAAGUAAUCCUCCGCACUACCUCUCUUUCAGUGGGGACAUCUGUAGUUGCUUUGUUAGUGUCUCAUUCGCCACUUCUUAAUCUGUGACCGCAUCAUCGCCACGUCUUCUUCAAUUCUUGCAAGACGCGUCCUCAUUCAGAGAAACACAUCUCAUUUGCAUAACUCUUUCGCAUCAUUCCUCGAGAGCUUUGUUUUCUCUCGGGAGAGCUCGUCUUCGUCGCCAACCCUAUUUUCCUCAUUGUAAGUCUUGUUUUCAUCACAGAUUCACUUUGUGAGUCUCGUUUCUUCCUCCUCACAACCUCUUCCCAUCAUUUCUUUAUAUUUUGACCAAUUAAACACCUCUCCUCACAUCAUUUUCCAUUUUACACCGAUUGAACCCUCCUUUGCUUUGAUCUAACACAUUUCCACCAAUUAUACUCUGUUUCUCACUGAUUAAUAGGUUCAAGUUAGGGUUUCUACUAUGUUUUAGGGUUUCCUUCGAGUUUAUAGGUGUUUCCACCGAUUAAACCUAGGUCUAGGGUUUCGUUGUGUUGAUAACGGUUCAAAAAUCGUUAUUUUCA